UUGAGGAAACAUCUGAAACCUGCAGGGACACCGGCCCUCGUAGACUGAGAUUGCCCACCCCUGGCUUAGAUAUUUGGAGCUUAAAGAGAGCAGCAGGAAGAGUGUUAGAGGACAUAGAUGGCAUCAAUAAAAUCCACCCGGUCCUUAAAAGAUGGAUGCUGGUGAUCUGGAUCAAAACGUCCAUCCCGGUAAAAAAAGACAUAUUCUGAUCCCAGGUCAGCUCUGCUCCACUCUACAGCUAUGAUGUUGUUGUUGUUUGGAGCUCGACAUGUCAGAGUGACGUCCUGUCCAGCUGUGAUGUUUAUCUCUGAAAGAGAGGACACAAUAUGGAUCAUGGUUAAAGAUUCAAAGUGUUAUGAUUAUCACGAUGAGCUACACGUGGAGAUCACUGAUUUCUGAUGAACCAGUGGAAGUACAGCACACACUGGAUGCUGAAAUUGAUCACGCUGGUGUUUUUCAUGAGAGACAGUUACGACUCAAUGCUGGACAUGUUUUGAAAUUAAACAUCUUUUAUUUACAGAUUUAUUUCUCAGUGACUUUUUGAUCCAUCUUUAAUUAAAUUCCUUUAACACUUAAAGAACUUAAUUAGUUAAUUGUCAUCUACUUUUACUUAUUCACUUUUAGUAAGAUUUGACAAAGCAAGUAUUUAGGAUAUUUUUUAUGGGGUUUAAUAGUUUUUUUAAAUGAUUUAGAUUUGUAGGGACAAUCAUCGGUCCUUUUUUGUCGCUUCUGCAGGACGUAAAGUUUGUGAGUCGUGCUUUUCUAAGAAAGCUUGUUUGCCAUUUGGUAGCAAAAAACAAAGCAAAUGUAAAAAAGGGGGAAAAAAUUAUUCCACACAAAAACUACAAAACCAAUCUCUCCAGUUGAAGCCCCGAUUACAUUUUCCUGAUAUUCAAUUCAAAUCAAUUUAAUUCGAUUCAAUUCAAUUUUAUUUAUAUAGCGCCAAAUCACAACAACAGUCACAUCAAGGCGCUUUAUAUUGUACAUUAUUAUAUUUGUUUUAUACCUAAAACAACUAUAAACAGUGAAGUUCUGAAAAGGACACAAAAAUGACCCUCUUGGCGGUUCUAGUUUUAAGUGGAAAACUGACUCAUUUUCAUCUUUUUUUGUUUUUGCCGAAGAAGCGGAUGCAUUUUAUAUUUUGUAAUCCAGAUUUUCAGUUUUACAGAUGUUUUCGUCUGCAGUUAUUUUAGACUAACGACACCUACUAGUGAGCUUUCAGGUUUAUAUUAAAAGCCACUGAAAAAAAUAUUACUGGCUUAAAACAAAUACACUGUAAACAAAAAAAAAAAAAUCCUGUGAUUGGACUCCAAUUUUUAUGCUUUUGCGAAAUAAAUUAUAUUAAAUUAUAAUAAAUUAUAAGCAGACUCUUUCUCUGUCAUGCCAUGGAUCAUUCCUUCACCUGCACACAUCUUGUUCAGUGUGCCUAACAUGGUACUGAGUUAAUAAACACACCGUUUUAACUGUUAAUCAUCCCAAAUUUUAUGUUUCAUGUUUUAUCAGGUCAGACAAAACUAUCGUUAAGCUCAGCUGUAUUAUAAGAGUAACACCUGCUUACCUUCAGAGGCAGAAAGUAGAAAAAAGACACACAGCAGAGUCCAGAAGAGUCCUUGCUGGAUCAGGUUCAGCACAGCCAUGCUGUCUCAGCAUUAACAGGCUCAACAAAACCUAAAAUCUCAGUUGGAGGCCUGAGACUACAAGGAGUGAUUACUGAUGUUCUCUGAUUAACUCUUUGCCUUUUAAACUGCUAGACAUGACAUUAGAACCACCCACUGCCCAACAGCUGCACAGUUCAGUGGGAAACCUUAGAAACUGUGAUAGCAGCUCAGAGGAUAGACUUUAAAGUUCUGAUGCUGGUCUAUAAAGCUCUGAAUGGUUUAGGACCAAAAUACAUUAGUGACCUCCUGACCCAGUAUGAACCUUCCAGAUCCCUCAGCUCAUCUGGAUCCGGAUUUUUAUUAGUCCCCAGAGUCAGAACCAAACACGGAGAAGCUGCAUUCAGCUUUUAUGCUCCAUAUAUCUGGAACAAACUCCCAGAAAGCCUCAGAGCAGCUGAAACACUCAGUUUAUUUAAAUCCAGGUUGAAGACUCACCUGUUCUCAGCUGCAUUUGAAUAAAGCACCAAAUCCACACUGUUUUACGUUUAAGCUUAAAUAUCAAAACAUACUCUUUUUUUCCCCCAUUUUAAAUCAUUUUUUUAUUUGUUUUUGUUUUUAAUGUCUCUGUGAAGCACUUUGAAUCACCUUGCUGUUGAAUUGUGCUAUAUGAAUAAAAUUGCCUUACCUUGCCUUAGUGAGAUUGGUGCUUAUGGGAGGAGUUGGUCGUCAAGCCAAGUGAUUUUCUCCAAGACCAUGGUGCUACAUAUAACAGGCAAUCAACACAGGACUACAUACAGUUCAGUGUGGAAAAAUAG
This is a long non-coding RNA of Oreochromis niloticus (Nile tilapia), 2413 nucleotides long. RefSeq lists it as uncharacterized. The record is from RefSeq and is a predicted model, not a curated record. The transcript is spliced from 2 exons. Lineage: Eukaryota; Metazoa; Chordata; Actinopteri; Cichliformes; Cichlidae.